GCCAGCAUGGCACAGUGAUUUGAGUAUUUGACUACAAUUUUGGAGACCAGGGUUUGAAUCCCUGCUCAGCCA
Phrynosoma platyrhinos (Desert horned lizard) is the source of this 72-nucleotide non-coding RNA. The record is from the annotation of a GenBank genome assembly. Lineage: Eukaryota; Metazoa; Chordata; Lepidosauria; Squamata; Phrynosomatidae.